RNAcentral lists this ribosomal RNA (531 nucleotides) under uncultured bacterium. Its description in RNAcentral is "partial 16S ribosomal RNA". It matches the Rfam family "Bacterial small subunit ribosomal RNA", at positions 355 to 895 of the family's 1533-position model. The record is from RNAcentral.
UGGGGAAUAUUGCACAAUGGGCGCAAGCCUGAUGCAGCAACGCCGCGUGAGGGAUGACGGCCUUCGGGUUGUAAACCUCUUUUAGCAGGGAAGAAGCGAAAGUGACGGUACCUGCAGAAAAAGCACCGGCUAACUACGUGCCAGCAGCCGCGGUAAUACGUAGGGUGCAAGCGUUGUCCGGAAUUAUUGGGCGUAAAGAGCUCGUAGGCGGUCUGUCGCGUCUGCUGUGAAAUCCCGAGGCUCAACCUCGGGCCUGCAGUGGGUACGGGCAGACUAGAGUGCGGUAGGGGAGAAUGGAACUCCUGGUGUAGCGGUGGAAUGCGCAGAUAUCAGGAAGAACACCGAUGGCGAAGGCAGUUCUCUGGGCCGUAACUGACGCUGAGGAGCGAAAGCGUGGGGAGCGAACAGGAUUAGAUACCCUGGUAGUCCACGCCGUAAACGUUGGGCGCUAGAUGUGGGGCACCAUUCCACGGUUUCCGUGUCGCAGCUAACGCAUUAAGCGCCCCGCCUGGGGAGUACGGCCGCAAGGCU